This 1044-nucleotide long non-coding RNA is filed under the name Homo sapiens (human). Its description in RNAcentral is "HSALNT0045200". Lineage: Eukaryota; Metazoa; Chordata; Mammalia; Primates; Hominidae. The record is from RNAcentral.
GGAGAGGCCAGAAAUGGUAAAUUAUCAAGCUGUAGUUCACUUGAAACAAAGGGAUUGUGAUCUUUGUACACAAGACAUAUUUGAACAUAUUUCUUCAACAGAGAUUAACCUCAGACCUACUGUGUGACAUAAGUUAUUGAAAAUGCUGGAUUACGAGGGAGGUGGAUCACGAGGUCAAGAGAUCAAGACCAUCCUGGCCAACAUGAUGAAACCCUGUCUCUACUAAAAUUAGCCAGGCAUGAUGGCGUGCACCUGUAGUCCCUGCUACUUAGGGGGCUGAGGCAGGAGAAUCACUUGAACCUGGGAGGCAGAGGUUGCAGUGAGCCCAUUUCGCACCACUGUACUCCAGCCUGAUGACAGAGCGAGACUCCAUUUCAAAGAAAAAGAAAAAAAAAAGAAAGAAAAUACUGGAUUAAUGUGCGAGGAGUUACUGGCUGAAGUCACACACAAAAAGCAUCUCUUUGUGUACGAUCCAUGAAUUUAAUGAUUUAUCUAUCAUACGUUUUUCUUUUCAAGAAACCGAGUAUAUGCGGAUGUGGUUAUGGAACUACUUCUUCAAAUACAAUGACGCAUGUUUAAAUCUUGCAUUGAUAUUUUACUUUUUUUUAAGUAGGUGUUCUUUCUUUUUCUUUUUCUUUAUUUUAUUAUUUUUUUUUAUUUUACUUUAAGUUCUGGGAUACAUGUACAGAAGCGUGCAGGUGUGUUACAUAGGUACACAUGUGCCAUGGUGGUUUGCUGCAUCUAUCAACCCAUCAUCUAGGUUUUAACACCUGCAUGCAUUAGGUAUUUGUCCUAAUGCCCUCCCUCCCCUUGCCCCCCACCCCCCAACAGGCCCUGGUGUGUGAUGUUCCCCUCCCUGUGUCCAUGUGUUCUUAUUGUUCAACUCCUACUUAUGAGUGAGAACAUGCAGUGUUUGGUUUGCUGUUCCUGUGUUAGUUUGCUGAGGAUGAUGGUUUCCAGCUUCAUCCAUGUCCUGCAAACGACAUGAACUCAUUCUUUUUUAUGGCUACAUAGUAUUCCACAGUGUAUAUGUGCCACAUUUUC